GUGUCCUGUGGUGGGGGAUAGCCCGGCGAAAGCCGGAUUAAUACCGCAUACGCUCUACGGAGGAGAGGGGGGGAUCUUAUGACCUCUCGCUACAGGGGCGGCCGAUGGCUCAUUAUCUAUUUGGUGGGGUAAAGGCCUACCACGGCGACAAUAUGUAUCUGGUCUGAGAGGACAACAACCCACACUGGGACUGAGACACGGCCCACACUCCUACAGGAGGCGCCACUGGGGAAUUUUGUACAAUGGGGGCAAGCCUGAUCCAGCACUGCGGCGUGUGUGAGAAAAGCCUUCGGGUUGUGUAGCACUUUUGUCUGGAGAGAAAACUUCUGUGUUAAUACCCCGGGGGGAUGACAGUGCCGGAAAAAUAUACACCGGCUAACUACAUGUCCCCACCCGCGGUAAUACAUAUGGUGCGCGCGUUAAUCUCAAUUACAGGGCGUAUAGCGUGCGCACGCGGUUUUCUAUAACAGAUGUGAAAUCCCCGGGCUCAUCCUGUGAACUGCAUUUGUGACUGUGGGGCUAUAGUAUGUCAGAGAGGGGUAUAAUUCUACGUGUAUCACUGAGAUGCGUAUAGAU
Molecule: ribosomal RNA, 576 nt
Filed under: soil bacterium Dicl-S1A-M1LLLSSL-1
Lineage: Bacteria
Description: bacterial SSU rRNA
Rfam family: Bacterial small subunit ribosomal RNA
Source: RNAcentral